Molecule: ribosomal RNA, 364 nt
Filed under: uncultured eukaryote
Lineage: Eukaryota
Description: partial 18S ribosomal RNA
Rfam family: Eukaryotic small subunit ribosomal RNA
Source: RNAcentral
CAAAAGCGUAUAUUAAAGUUGUUGCAGUUAAAAAGCUCGUAGUUGAACCUUGGGCUUGGCUGGCCGGUCCAUCUUUUUUGAUGCGUACUGGACCCAGCCGAGCCUUUCCUUCUGGCUAGCCUUUUGGCGAACCAGGACUUUUACUUUGAAAAAAUUAGAGUGUUCAAAGCAGGCCUUUGCUCGAAUAUAUUAGCAUGGAAUAAUAGAAUAGGACGUUAUGGUUCUAUUUUGUUGGUUUCUAGGACCGUCGUAAUGAUUAAUAGGGACGGUCGGGGGUAUCAGUAUUCAGUUGUCAGAGGUGAAAUUCUUGGAUUUACUGAAGACUAACUACUGCGAAAGCAUUUACCAAGGACGUUUUCAUUAA